AACGCUAGCUACAGGCUUAACACAUGCAAGUCGAGGGGCAGCAUUGGAGUAGCAAUACUUCAGAUGGCGACCGGCGCACGGGUGAGUAACACGUAUCCAACCUGCCGCUUACUCGGGGAUAGCCUUUCGAAAGAAAGAUUAAUACCCGAUGGUAUAAAGAGUUCGCAUGUUCUCUUUAUUAAAGAAUUUCGGUAAGCGAUGGGGAUGCGUUCCAUUAGAUUGUUGGCGGGGUAACGGCCCACCAAGUCUACGAUGGAUAGGGGUUCUGAGAGGAAGGUCCCCCACAUUGGAACUGAGACACGGUCCAAACUCCUACGGGAGGCAGCAGUGAGGAAUAUUGGUCAAUGGACGAGAGUCUGAACCAGCCAAGUAGCGUGAAGGAUGACUGCCCUAUGGGUUGUAAACUUCCUUUAUAAGGGAAUAAAGUGAGGGACGUGUCCCUUUUUGUAUGUACCUUAUGAAUAAGGAUCGGCUAACUCCGUGCCAGCAGCCGCGGUAAUACGGAGGAUCCAAGCGUUAUCCGGAUUUAUUGGGUUUAAAGGGAGCGUAGGUUGACAUAUAAGUCAGCUGUGAAAGUUUACGGCUCAACCGUGAAAUUGCAGUUGAUACUGUAUGUCUUGAGUGUACAAGAGGUGGGCGGAAUUCGUGGUGUAGCGGUGAAAUGCUUAGAUAUCACGAAGAACUCCGAUUG
RNAcentral lists this ribosomal RNA (691 nucleotides) under uncultured bacterium. RNAcentral's name for it is "bacterial SSU rRNA". It matches the Rfam family "Bacterial small subunit ribosomal RNA", at positions 32 to 715 of the family's 1533-position model. The record is from RNAcentral.